This 255-nucleotide ribosomal RNA is filed under the name uncultured bacterium. Its description in RNAcentral is "partial 16S ribosomal RNA". It matches the Rfam family "Bacterial small subunit ribosomal RNA", at positions 524 to 779 of the family's 1533-position model. The record is from RNAcentral.
UACGUAGGCAGCAAGCGUUGUUCGGAGUUACUGGGCGUAAAGGGUGUGUAGGCGGCUUUUUAAGUUUGGUGUGAAAUCUCCCGGCUCAACCGGGAGGGUGCGCCGAAUACUGAGAGGCUAGAGUGCGGGAGAGGAAAGUGGAAUUCCUGGUGUAGCGGUGAAAUGCGUAGAUAUCAGGAGGAACACCGGUGGUGUAGACGGCUUUCUGGACCGUAACUGACGCUGAAACACGAAAGCGUGGGUAGCAAAAGCAUG